ACGGGUGAGUAACACGUAGGUAACCUGCCACUCAGACUGGGAUAACUACCGGAAACGGUAGCUAAGACCGGAUACGCUUACAGGAGGGCAUCUUCUUGUAAGGAAAAGCGGAGCAAUCUGCUGCUGAAUGAUGGACCUGCGGCGCAUUAGCUAGUUGGUGAGGUAGCGGCUCACCAAGGCGACGAUGCGUAGCCGACCUGAGAGGGUGAACGGCCACACUGGGACUGAGACACGGCCCAGACUCCUACGGGAGGCAGCAGUAGGGAAUCUUCGGCAAUGGACGGAAGUCUGACCGAGCAACGCCGCGUGAGUGAAGAAGGUUUUCGGAUCGUAAAACUCUGUUGCCAGGGAAGAAUGGUUGGGAGAGUAACUGCUCUUGACAUGACGGUACCUGAGAAGAAAGCCCCGGCUAACUACGUGCCAGCAGCCGCGGUAAUACGUAGGGGGCAAGCGUUGUCCGGAAUUAUUGGGCGUAAAGCGCGCGCAGGCGGUGAUUUAAGUCUGGUGUAUAACCCAAGGGCUCAACUCUUGGCGGCAUUGGAAACUGGAUGACUGGAGUGUAGGAGAGGAAAGUGGAAUUCCACGUGU
RNAcentral lists this ribosomal RNA (588 nucleotides) under uncultured bacterium. RNAcentral describes it as "bacterial SSU rRNA". It matches the Rfam family "Bacterial small subunit ribosomal RNA", at positions 102 to 676 of the family's 1533-position model. The record is from RNAcentral.